RNAcentral lists this ribosomal RNA (440 nucleotides) under uncultured bacterium. RNAcentral describes it as "partial 16S ribosomal RNA". It matches the Rfam family "Bacterial small subunit ribosomal RNA", at positions 338 to 795 of the family's 1533-position model. The record is from RNAcentral.
UCUACGGGAGGCUGCAGUGGGGAAUAUUGCACAAUGGGGGAAACCCUGAUGCAGCGACGCCGCGUGAGUGAAGAAGUAUCUCGGUACGUAAAGCUCUAUCAGCAGGGAAGAAAAUGACGGUACCUGACUAAGAAGCCCCGGCUAACUACGUGCCAGCAGCCGCGGUAAUACGUAGGGGGCAAGCGUUAUCUGGAUUGACUGGGGGUAAAGGGAGCGGAGACGGCAGCACAAGUCUGGAGUGAAAUCCCGGGGCUUAACCCCGGAACUGCGUUGGAAGCUGGGCGGCUGGAGUGUAGGAGGGGUAAGCGGAAUUCCUGGUGUAGCGGUGAAAUGCGUAGAUAUUAGGAGGAACACCGGUGGCGAAGGCGGCUUACUGGACUAUAACUGACGUUGAGGCUCGAAAGCGCGGGUAUCGAACAGGAUUAGAUACCCGAGUAGUC